RNA transcript from Lotus japonicus, 3671 nucleotides. It is a transcript of the gene named zinc finger CCCH domain-containing protein 51-like, with no coding region annotated. The record is from RefSeq and is a predicted model, not a curated record. The transcript has 4 exons. NCBI's taxonomy places the organism in Eukaryota, Viridiplantae, Streptophyta, Magnoliopsida, Fabales, Fabaceae.
CCUCAACAACGUCAAAGCCUCUUCAGUCUUCACGCCGACGCUUCCCCCACCGUCGCGGCCUUGAACCGCUCGCUCCUCUCGCCGGACCUCGCCGUCGCCCCACCGCCGUCGCCGAAGCUCAAAUCAAAUUCUAAGCAUGGAUGAUUCCGAUCAAUUCGCCAAAUCUGAACAAGUGUGUAGUAGUUUCUUCAGAAAACCAGUGAAUAAGAUGAAUAUUAGGAAACGAACAAUUGAUCAUGGUGAAAAUGAUGAUGAUGAUGAAUCUCCAAAACCCUAUGCAUGUGCUGAACCAAUUGAAGAAGAAUCAGGGAAACAACCAGUUUUUCAGUUUGAGUCUUCAAAAGAGAUUCAACUUCAACAUGAUAGCAAAGCAACUGCAACCCUAGAGACUGAGACUGAAUUUUCGAAAGAUGCUCGAGCCGUACGCGAAAGGGCGCUUAAGCAAGCGGCGAAGAGGAGCAAUAGUCUGAAGGGGGAUGGAAAGUUGUUGUACAAGGGGAUGAAUGGUUAUAAAGACUACAAGGCUGGAUUCCGUAGAGAGCAAACGAUUGCGAGCGAGAAAGCUGGUGGGGCACAUGGUCCUCUCAGGGCUUCAGCUCAUAUUAGGGUUUCAGCGAGAUUUGAUUAUCAGCCUGACAUUUGUAAGGAUUACAAGGAAGCUGGUUAUUGCGGGUAUGGUGAUUCCUGCAAGUUUAUGCACGAUCGAGGGGACUAUAAGUUCGGGUGGCAGUUGGAGAAAGAAUGGGAUGAAGCUGAGAAAGCAAGGAAGAUGAGAUUGUUGGCUGCUGCAAGUGGUGAGGAUGCAGAUGAGGAGGGCGAUAAUGUGACGUCGGAUGAAGAUGAUGAUGAUUCAUUGCCGUUUGUGUGUUUCAUUUGUAAUAAGCCAUUUGUGGAUCCUGUUGUAACCAAGUGCAAGCACUACUUCUGUGAGCAUUGUGCAUUGAAGCAUCAUGCAAAGAAUAAAAAGUGUUUUGUCUGCAACCAGCCAACACUUGGCACUUUUAAUGUGGCUCAUGAGAUACACAAGAAGACGGCUGAGGAUAAUAAAUAAUCUCACUCAACAGGUUCCAUGAUCUCUCUGUGUUGAAGAGUGAUGCCAUAAACUAUGCAAAGAGUUGAAAACAUACGGAGGAUAAAACGGAGGGGUUAGGUCUUAUUCAUUUUGCUUAAUUUUCUUGACUAUUUGAUCCCAGAAUUGUUAAGUUCAAGAAGUCUAGGAAUGAGAAAAUACGUUUUCUCUUAUCUUAUUAAUAAUAAUCAAAGAGCCAUUAAAUAGGCUGAUACAUCACAGAAGGGAAAUAAACGUGCAGUGCUACAAAAUAGGAAAAUUGGUGCAACGUGCAAGUGCUACAACUGACUCUAAAGAUUAGGUAAAACAGAUAGUGACUCUAUCUAAAACAGAAAAAACAAACCAUAUAAACAACUGACAUCUAAAUUAUUUAUUUCAACAACCCCUUAAACUUAAUGUUUCAAACAUAAGUUUAAUGAAUCAAAGUCUAAAACACAUUCCCUUGCACGGUUGCUUCCAAUGUGCAUACUCCAAGCAAUACUCUAAGUUUUUGGAAUGCAGCUAAUUUAAGUGGUUUUGUGAACAAAUCAGCCACUUGAUCUUCACUUUUCCCCUUUGUCAGUUCACGCAAUACAAACUCUGCUUCAGUAGUUGAAAGUGUGACAAUAGGUUGCUUCCUUGAUGACCAUGAAACAGCUCCGGAACCAAACAUAAAGACAUAACUAUAUGUGCUUUUCCUAUCAUCUUGAUCUCCCGUAUAAUCACUAUCCGUGAAUCCAAUCAAAUCUGAUUUCUCUCCUUUCUUGUAAAAUAUCCCAUAUUCUUUUGUUCCUUGUAAGUACCGCAAAAUGCGCUUUGUUGCCAUGAGAUGCAUCCUUUUUGGAUUUUCCAUGAAUCUGCUAAUGAGGCUUACAGCAAGCAUAAUGUCUCGUCUUGUAGCAGUUAGGUACAUGAGGCUUCCAACAAGUUGCUUGUAAAGAAUAUCAUCAACUCCUUUUCCUUCAGUAUUCUUAACAAGCUUUAGACUUGUUUCUGCUGGUGUUCUCACCGGACUGCAUCUGUCCAUCUGAAAUCUCUUUAAAAUUUCUCUUGUGUACUUCUUUUGAGAGAUAAAAAUACCACUUGAGGAUUGCUCAACCUCAAUGCCAAGGAAAUAGUGCAUCAAACCAAGAUCAGACAUCUCAAAUUCAGACAUCAUGGAUUUCUUAAAUUCCUCAAUCAUCACUUCAUCAUUACUGGUAUAAAUUAAAUCAUCCACAUACAAGCAAACUAUAAGCAUCUUACCUCUUCCUUCAAAUCGCACGAAGAGUGUAUACUCAUAAGGACAUUUGUGAAAUCCAUUCUUCAAGAAAUAGGCUUCAAUGUGACUGUACCAAGCCCUUGGGGCUUGUUUUAACCCAUAUAAAGCCUUCUUUAACUUGUACACCUUUUCUUCUUGUCCAACUUUAACAUAACCUGGUGGUUGAUCAAGUCGUGCAACCGGAGCGAAGAGUGGUUGAUCAAGUGUUUUAGACUUUGGUUCAUUAAACUUAUGUUUGAAACAUUAAGUUUAACGAGGCUGUUGAAAUAAAUUAUUUAGAUGUCAGUUGUUUAUUUGGUUUGUUUUUUCUGUUUUAGAUAGAGUCACUAUCUGUUUUACCUAGUCUUUAGGAGUCAGUUGUAGCACUUGCACGUUGCACCAGUUUUCCUAUUUUGUAGCACUGCACGUUUAUUUCCCUUCUGUGAUGUAUCAGCCUAUUUAAUGACUCUUUGAUUAUGAUUAAUAAGAUAAGAGAAAAUGUAUUUUCUCAUUCCUAGACUUCUUGAACUUAACAGUGGUAUCAGAACCAAUGGUUAGAGCGAUCAUCGUGAAGGUUCCUUGUGUCGAAAGUCUUCCUAGCAAUGGUGGCUAGGCAGCGUGUCCUGUUGACGAAGAUCCAACGACGGUGCAAGUAUUUUGAGGGUUUCCGCUUGAUAUGGACUCAUUAGAGAGAUUGUUGGGAAUUCAAGUGUGAGUAAGAAGUCUCACAUUGGAAUAUUAGAUGAGUAUUGAGCACUUUAUAAGUGAGAGGACCCAUACACCUAAUACCUUAAGGUUUUGGGUGAAAGAUGUGGUGUCCAAUCUACUUUGGUGUGCUCAUGUAAGCCCAAUGUGAUGAUCCCCGGUUUAUCCUCUUGCGGCCCAACAAGAAUAUCUAAUAGAGUGAUAUUUGAUUACAUGUUAACAGCACACACUGGUUCUGUUUGUAAUCAGUUUGAUACUGAAUUAAUUUCCAGUUACAGAUUUUUCAUUUUUCUUAACCUGAGCAGGAAGUUAAGGUGGGAGAGACAACCAUAGGCUCAUUUCAUCAAGGAACUGGCAAGACUCACUCUGUAUGUAUUUGACACUGUUACUGCCAGACAUGGAGCAUUCAAACCUCUCUUCAAUCUAGGCCAUCUCAAAUGCAACUAACCGCUGAGUUAACGGUUGCUUUGACGACAAGAUUUCGAUACUAAGACGUGGGGAAUUAAGGGCAAGCAUUCAAAUUGAUAUGUGUGACAAUUUUGAUCUUAGUCCCGUGGAACUAAAAUCCUGGUCUGCCCCUGAAGCCGCCUCCAACCCACUUGGUUAACAAAUUAAGUCUGAACUUUACAAAAUUAAGUCUGAACUUUACAAUAUAGCAAUAAUAACAGCCCUUUGACA